This 76-nucleotide transfer RNA is filed under the name Sphingobium phage Lacusarx. RNAcentral describes it as "tRNA-His". It matches the Rfam family "tRNA". From Rfam's summary of the family: Transfer RNA (tRNA) molecules are approximately 80 nucleotides in length. Their secondary structure includes four short double-helical elements and three loops (D, anti-codon, and T loops). The record is from RNAcentral. Lineage: Duplodnaviria; Heunggongvirae; Uroviricota; Caudoviricetes.
GUGACCGAGGCAGAGUUGGAUCAUGUGCCGGGUCGUGAUCCCGGAUACGGCGGGUUCGAGCCCCGCCGGUCACCCC